UGGGGAAUAUUGCACAAUGGGCGCAAGCCUGAUGCAGCCAUGCCGCGUGUGUGAAGAAGGCCUUCGGGUUGUAAAGCACUUUCAGCGAGGAGGAAGGUGGUGAACUUAAUACGUUCAUCAAUUGACGUUAUUCGCAGAAGAAGCACCGGCUAACUCCGUGCCAGCAGCCGCGGUAAUACGGAGGGUGCAAGCGUUAAUCGGAAUUACUGGGCGUAAAGCGCACGCAGGCGGUUUGUUAAGUCAGAUGUGAAAUCCCCGGGCUCAACCUGGGAACUGCAUUUGAAACUGGCAAGCUAGAGUCUCGUAGAGGGGGGUAGAAUUCCAGGUGUAGCGGUGAAAUGCGUAGAGAUCUGGAGGAAUACCGGUGGCGAAGGCGGCCCCCCUGGACGAAGACUGACGCUCAGGUGCGAAAAGGCGUGGGGGCAGCAAACAGGAUUAGAUACCCUGGUAGUCCACGCUGUAAACGAUGUCGAUUUUGGAGGUUGUGCCCUUGAGGCGUGGCUUCCGGAGCUAACGCGUUAAAUCGACCGCCUGGGGAGUACGG
This 544-nucleotide ribosomal RNA is filed under the name uncultured bacterium. RNAcentral's name for it is "partial 16S ribosomal RNA". It matches the Rfam family "Bacterial small subunit ribosomal RNA", at positions 355 to 885 of the family's 1533-position model. The record is from RNAcentral.